Girardinichthys multiradiatus is the source of this 2011-nucleotide long non-coding RNA. RefSeq lists it as uncharacterized. NCBI's taxonomy places the organism in Eukaryota, Metazoa, Chordata, Actinopteri, Cyprinodontiformes, Goodeidae. The record is from RefSeq and is a predicted model, not a curated record. The transcript has 2 exons.
AACAAUGUUAGCAAGUUUUUUUUAUUUUACUUAGGAACAGAGAAGUGCUCCAGAAAAACAAGACAUCUCAGCUGCUGCUUGGUUUGAGUUUACAGAUGGAAACUUAAUAGUUGUGUCCAUGAGGAGCUGAGCUGUAGCUGAAGUCGGGUCCCUACAGGAAGCUAUGAGGUCAAAAACAACAACCAGAGGAUCCAGCCUGUCUGACUGUGUUUUAAUUGCACUGGGUGGGAAAAAGGGGCUUAAGGGGAAAUGGGCUAAAAAGGCACUUGAGUGUGUUUGUGUGUGUGUUCUCGGACUGUUUGUGGCGCUGUGCUCUGCGGGCUCCAGGCCUGACGACUCCACAGCUAGCCUGCUCACAGAGUAAAUAUUGAUGGCUGUGCUUCCUGCCAUUGAGCGGCCCCACCCGGCUAGCCGGCGAGACUCAGGUCUGCUCAUUGUUUAGGGCAACGGUGCUGGGAGUCACGCAAACAAGAGGGCUGAAAUAUGCAGACUUUUAACUUAAGAGAGCCUUUAAUCAAACAUUUACUGUAAGUGAAACAACACAUUCUAACAGCAUCAGUGCAGAUGUAUCCACUUUAAAUUAUAUGUAUUUUGUUUUUAGCUAUUUUUAAUUACAUGAACUAAAUGAGGUUAGCUCCAUAGCAAUUAUUUUUUACUAUUCUCUAUGAAAAUGCUAUUAAAUACGACCACAAUACAGUGCCUUGCAACAGUGAUCACAUCGCUUAAUUCUUCAUUCUAAGAACUUGCCAUGAUCCACAGCUGUUUGUGUUUUGGUUUUCUUUUGUGUUCUUUUCUUAUUAUUUCUGGAUUUAUUACUGUUACAAAGGCCUUGCCAUAUUCAGUUGUUUAUCAUCGCUAUUAGGGCUUUUCCAUGUAGGUUAAUUCGUUUGUGUUUAGUUUCUUUUUUCAAAAUUAUUAUUUCUUGUGUUCUUUUAUCUAUGCAUUUUGCUUUUUUCUCUCAUGUCAUUUUCAGGCCUUCUGUCUUGUGGUUUCAAGAUCCUUUUCAGCCUGGUAGAUGGUAGAAGUCGAUCCUGUUACCAGUGGGUUGCUGGUUUGAACCCCCGCUUCAUCCUUCUCAGUCAUUGUGUCCUUGGGCAAGACACUUCACUCGCCUUGCCUGCUGAUUGUGGUCAAUGUGCCCCAGGGCAGCUCUGGCUACAAUGUAGCUCACCACUGUCAGUGUGUGAAUGUGUGUAUGAGUGGGUAGAUGACUGUUUGUAGUGCAAAGCCCUUCAGGGUGCUCGGACUAGAUAAAGUGCUAUACAAGUACAGGCCAUUUACAUUUCCUCUGAUUUCUUAUCUACCGCUUAUCUAACCCUCUUAUUUGUCAUUUUCCACCCCUACGUCAAUAUAUAAGCUCCUGGUUUUUCGAUGUUCCUGUCAGGAUCUGGGUUGUGUUUGUGUUUUGUGCUCGCUACAUGUGCUCAGUGUUUUCUGAUGGUGCUGGAGUUCUUAGGUAUGCUGGGUGACAGGUGCAACUUAUUCUACUGAUUACUUUGAGGAGUACUUAAGCAGGAGGCUGCCAGAGUGUUUUGCCCACAGUGGUAACAAGCUCUAGCCAAACACUAAAUCUAUGCUUUGUUCUUCGACCUCGUUGUAACUUCAUUUAUGCUCCUUCGCAGGCUAAGUAAACCUGAAUCCUGGGUUUAUGUCACUGAAUACUGACUAUGUGUCUGGAAGUCUUUCUGGAUGAUCAAGGCUAUCUACAUUCUGAGGAUUUCAUUUCCUAUCUACUGUCUUCGUUUGGAUUCGCAUCUAGCUGGCAGUUUUCUGCUACCUUCGCCUCCUGGACCAAGCCGCAAGCGUACCCUGUCCACCCUCUAAUGUAAGCAUCUGCACACCGAACUCAUUCCUGUUUUGCUCCGAGCUCACACUGAACAGCACCUAAAGAACCUUCUACAAACCUGGAUCCUGAAUGCCUCUUCCCCUGGUGACCUGACAUCACCUAUUUAUUGGAGAGUCAUCCAUUACGUUCCUGAUUAUCUUUGUCACAAUAAACAUCCUUUACAUA